Molecule: non-coding RNA, 3175 nt
Organism: Pelodiscus sinensis (Chinese soft-shelled turtle)
Lineage: Eukaryota; Metazoa; Chordata; Testudines; Trionychidae
Source: RefSeq, a predicted model, not a curated record
UAAACCUAGGCUUAUCGGGUAGUCGACUAUUUGACUACUAUUUUACAUCCCUAAUCAGAAAAAGACAUUAAUUUGAUGAUUAAGCAUUCCCUAAAUUCUUGUAAGUAUUAUUCAUGUUAUUACUCAUGUUAUUGUGGUUAAAAAUGCGUACUAGUAUUUAAAAAAUGGGACCAAAUUGCAGUGAAAUCGUUGUCAAUUAGUUUAGGGUUUUCUCUCUCUCUUGUUUAUUUUAUGCUCUAUUGCUUUUAGUAAUACUUCUUUAGAAUAGGGUGCAUAUAAUUCUAAAUAUCCUGAACCUUUGAAUCAUGAAAUGGAGCCCACCACCUUCAUUACUCUAAAAGUGAGUGACUCUUGGUUUAAAAAAUGUGUUUAUCCAUCAGAGAGUACUGAGGUGGAGUCAUCAGGCUAUGAUUCAAGAAAUCUCUGUUCUCUUCCCAGCUGUUCAGACUUUCUGUAUGACCUCUGGGCUUUCGUUCCCCAUUUGUAAAUAUGGAAUAAUAAUAGUUUAAUGGUGUUGUGAGGAUAGAUCCAUUAAUAUUUGUGAGGUGUGCAGAUACUAUAUUUAUAGACUUAUAAAAUGCCUAUAAAGAAAGAUAUAUAUAUAUAUAUAUAUAGUGAUGGCCAAACAGGAGUAUAAAUGCCACAAUUAUUUUCCCUUUCUGCAGAAAGUCAUAAAAACAUAGCAGGGUCUGAAGGAAGUGUCUCUAUUCCUUCUAGAGAAGAGUCAACUUAAAAGUGAAUGCCAAAAUGAAUUCAUUUUUCUGUCACUACUGUCAGAUUAAAAGUUAGGUCUAAAAACCAUCUCCUGAUAAAUUUUCAAUAAAUGCAGAGUGUCUUAAAUUCGGAAAGCUAUAGGAAAAGCCUGUAACCAGCUUUACUGCAGUUCCAUGCAAGAUGAGUUGCACUUGAUAAAUUGGAGAUCAGUCUAGGCCUAAAUUUUUGACUUGUGAUUCGGGGGUUCAAAGUAGAGACCUAACAGCCCUGAUUUUCAGAAAAUGCUGACAACUUGCCCUCUCAAAAUCGGGCUCCAUCAAGGAGACUCAGUUUGGGCUCACAGAAUCACUACUCACUUUUGAAAAGAUUGGGCUUUGUGUGCCAGCUCUUUCACUCUAGACAUUUGGUCUCUCCUAGUUGCGUCCCAAGUCAAACUGAACUUGCUGGUUUCGUCUUAGAAUGUGAAAUUCUCUGCAGCGCUUACUCCCUGCACAAACAGGUUCCCUCCUCUAAUGAGAAAAAGAGGGAGUGUUGCAUGUCUGGACAUGAUGUAAAACUUACUCAGAACCUUUCUGCGCAUACAUAGUGCUUUCUUGCACUUGCUUAGCCUGCUCUCAACUUCAACAUCCUUAACCACUGUGCUUAAUAAGUCACCUGAUAAAUCAACCCCUCUACAUACAACCAAGCUAGUUGUGGCUUCAUUCACAUGAUGUGGUUAAGACCCCACUCCUACAAGGUGCUAAGUGACUACAAUUCUGCCUGAAGCCUCCAGCCAAGUACAGGACCACUCCAAUGAGAGGUAAGGUUGCUCAGCACCUUGAAAGAUUAGGCCCUUAUACCCAAUCCUGCUCCCUUUGAAGUCAGUGGAAGUUUUGCUAAGUUCACCUGGAUCUGGAUCAGGAUCAGGACCUAAGGAUUUAAGGGACAGGGAUGCACACUCUUUGCAUGUCUUUCUCUGGGUGUAAUGUGCCAUACAAAGCCAAAUCAGGCAUACACAUCUAUGCAUUCGUAGAUUGAUCCAAGUAGGUUUUUGAGCUAGAGGGUUCAGUACCGUCCUGAAUUAUUAGUAGAUGAAAACUCUCAAGGCAUACAUUUUAUUUAUGCCAAGGCCCCUUGAUGCAACUCUGGCAGGUAUGCAGGUAAUACGCCUUAAAGCGGGCAUACUUUACACAUACCUCCCUUAUCCAGUGCUUUGACUCCCAGAGUGAUGAAAAAGUGUCCUAUUGUAAAUGAGAAUCAAGCCCUCAAAUCUGAGGAAAAGAUGUCACCCUAGAUCUGUAACUGGCUGCUGUAUUUUUUUUGCAUCUCUCUCUCUUUGUAGAUCAACAGAUGAAAGGAAACAAUCUCUCAUCCCAAGAAAAGAGGAGAGCUAUGGAGCAGCACACCUCAACCACACUCCUCUCCCUCUACUGUCUCCUCAGCCAUUCAUGUGGCAAAGGUGUUAUGUGAGCUAACGUAUUGCAAAGCUCUGUACGCAGGAUGCAGCUGGCUGAAAGCAGUGGAUGCUUGAAGGGCAUUGGUGGGCCCAUGAAAAUGAAAUUCCCACCACUUACUAUGCUGUGCUAGCUGGUUUGGCUUGUAUUCACCAUGGAAUAAUGCUGGUGUCUGCUUAUGGAGUAUGAUAAGUGCAUUGAUUUCCACCUAACGGGAUAUGGUGUACAAAGCAGAGAAACGACACAGGCAAGAGGCUCUCUCAGCAGCCGAAAUGAGUUACCCAACUUUCUGCCUAAUUCUUCAGAGAACAUUAAUCUAGUUAAUCUCAUUGGUUCACCAAGCAACAGCCCUCUUUCCAGUCCCUAUUAAGACUCACUUCUUCUGUUGUGCCCUCAAUAAAUGAUCUCAUCUACCUGCAUAUAAUACCUGUUGACCAGCCAUGCCAUGGAAUUUAUUGGUGGGGAUUUCUGAAGGCCAAAAGCAUCACUGUGUUCAGAAAAGAUUACAUAAGUUCCUGGAUGGUAGGUCCAUCAAUAGCUGUUAGCCAAGAUGGUCAGGGAUGCAGCCCAAUGCUCCUGGUAUCCCUGCACCUCUGGUAGACAAGCUGGGAUUGGUCGGAGGGGGUAGAUCACUCAAUAAAUUGCCCUGAUCUGUACAUUUCCUUUGACACAUCCAGGGCCACUGUCAACAGACCAAACACUGGACUAGAUGGACCAUUGGUCUGACAAAUGCAUAUAUACAUUUGUUUGUAUCAUCUUUAUCUGUCUCUUGAUUAACAAUUAGUUAGUUGAGAAAACUUAGUCAUCUGCAAAAGUGUUUACAGGAUUGGUCACCUUUGUUUCUUGGCUAGACUAGCAUUGUAAAUGAGGACUUUUUCUCCAAUGGAUUUUCCUUGGUUGAGUGAAGUUUUUAUUACUGUUUUAACAGUAAUUGCAAUGCUGUGGUUUUCAAUAUGAUUGACUUUUGCCUUGUGCAUUAAAACAUCAGUUUCACUGACUGUAAUAAAUGUUAUAUAGAUGGUUUUAAU